Molecule: ribosomal RNA, 422 nt
Filed under: uncultured Prochlorococcus sp.
Lineage: Bacteria; Bacillati; Cyanobacteriota; Cyanophyceae; Synechococcales; Prochlorococcaceae
Description: bacterial SSU rRNA
Rfam family: Bacterial small subunit ribosomal RNA
Source: RNAcentral
GCGGCGUGCUUAACACAUGCAAGUCGAACGAACCUUCGGGUUAGUGGCGGACGGGUGAGUAACGCGUGAGAAUCUGCCCUCAGGAGGGGGAUAACGGUUGGAAACGACCGCUAAUACCCCAUAUGCCUUCUGGUGAAAUGAAUUUCGCCUGAGGAUGAGCUCGCGUCUGAUUAGCUAGUUGGUGAGGUAAUGGCUCACCAAGGCUUCGAUCAGUAGCUGGUCUGAGAGGAUGAUCAGCCACACUGGGACUGAGACACGGCCCAGACUCCUACGGGAGGCAGCAGUGGGGAAUUUUCCGCAAUGGGCGAAAGCCUGACGGAGCAACGCCGCGUGAGGGACGAAGGCCUCUGGGCUGUAAACCUCUUUUCUCAAGGAAGAAGAUAUGACGGUACUGAGGAAUAAGCCACGGCUAAUUCCGUGCC